CCGGGGAGGAGAGCUGUCCCCCUUCAGAGCAUCCCACAGAGCCACCUCCCUCCAGCUCCCCGCUGGAAAGAUUUCCCUUCAUGCCAAAAAAGCCAAUUCCAAAAAAGUUUGGUAUCUCGUUGUGACCUUUCCUAAGCCAGAAACCAACCCUGCGGUGCCAGAGGCAGGUUUCCUCACUGCCCUCUCUGCCCACAGGCUGCCUCAGCCUCCCCGAGGACCAGGUCCGGCCUGACACUUUCGAGGACACCACGCUGGCGUUCCUCGAGGCUGCACGUGGCCCUGCUCCAAGCCUGAAUUUGCCAACACACAGCGAGACUUCCUCGGUGCUGCGAGCACGCAGCCACCCCCAGCACCCAGACAACAAAAACACCUCGGAGCUGGGCACCCGGGGCAGGCACCGUGAGGCAGAAAUCUCCUCCAAAGGACUGGAUUCUGAAAAGCGUUACUGGCGGAGCUAUCCCCGUACCCAUCCACUGAUGCUUCCAACACUCGUGUGACCGACCCGAGCCUGCCCUACAGGUGACUGCCCAGGUGAUCGUUCCCUCAGCUCAGACUGACAGCAGCAGCAUUGUCUUGCCACAACUCGGGUGGAAAAUCUCAUUCACGCUCCCAUCUUUUCACAGCAUCACUCCUUUUUCAUAGGUCUCCAGCCCUAGCUGUCCAGAGCAAAAUUACACAGAAGUGACCCGUCCUCCCUUUUCAGCUGUAAAGAGGACACGUUUUUCCAUGAGCUUCACCUGGUACCUCUAGGAGCGCCUCCUUACUGCAGAUCCUGCCCUGGGAAUGGGCAGGAAUUGCUUUCUGUGCUUCCAAACUCCCUCUCAAUAUCCACAGCACAUUUACACUUCCAGAAAAAAAAAUAAUAAUAAGUUUUUAACUAGUUCAAGAUGAGAUCUUUCAAAACACCUUUCAGGACAUAGUUGUUUGCCACAAUGAAAGAUAUAUCUAAAUCUGUGAUCUUUUUAGAAAUCCAUAUCUUUUUGAAUCUGACUAAAAUCUUGCCCGAACUUCCCCCUUCUUCUUAAAAGCAGCAGUUCUUGCUUUAUAUUUCAAGUGAUGGCGCUCAUCAUGCCUAUGUUUCAAGUAAUUUUAUUAGGGAUAGCACUGAACACAAACCUGAACAGCUUUGCCCGUGAUGACACCGACCAGACUUUUAUCCACCUAAGCUCGCAUUGAAGGAAAAAAUGUUUAACUGGGCAGUGCAGGAGUGACUCUACUGAGCUAAGUGUUUACAGUGAAAGUAAGUCAAGUUGAACCCUAAAUCAAUACAGGUGAAUUCAGCACAUCCUGGAUAUGUUUCACCAGGGUAGAUCCAGGUUUUUUAUUAAUUCAUAGUGAACCUAUUUCAACAAUGAAACCCUUCAUGCCUGAGUAAUUUAGCAUUUUCUUGCUUUGACAUUGAAACACUACCGUGUAGAAAGCCUCUCUGGACUUUCUGAAUAGAAGCAGGUAACGCAUUUUUACUCAGUUGUAAUUUGUCCACAAUCCAAAAGCACUGCGAUUUGUAAAGCACACAGUUUGGUCAGUAUAAGUGAAUACUCGAUCCCAUUGAGGGCUCUGUUUAUAAAGUUGUGUUUGGAGCUUACUUGAAAGGCAGCCACGCUGACUCAUAUUCGAGACACCCAUUCUCCAAACAGUUCACUUGGUGCUGCAUGGGCAAUAGCACAAGUCCUCCCCACCAUUCUCAAACACUACGGCAUGCCAGAAGCGUUUCCUUCCAGAAAGUUAAAUUCCAGUUACUUCUGACGGCAAAUUUCAAGGAGAAAGCCCUAAACAACUGAUGCAACUUUAGAACUGAAACAAACUUCAUUCUUUACACUGUGCCUAAAUCUUAUGAAUACAGCAGUCCAAAUGAAUUGUUGCUCUUUCACCUCUCACACCCUUUGAAUCUGAAUGUUUUGGUAUGCAAUUCCAGGCCACAUGCUAAAAAUUUACUGCUACAGCUAGACUCACAAGUUUAAGAAUACCUGUUUAGGGGGUUAAAGGGGAUAUGUCUUACAAUUCAAAGCAAUUUAGGAAUAUAAAAGCAAAAUGUUGCAAAAAAGUAAAGAAAACUUAAAUUGUCCCUUGUAUACAAACAAUCUAUUAUAGCACUUGGAAUGGGGACAAAGUGACAUCUUUAUUAGGCUUCUGAGCAGGCAUGAAUACAUUCCGGUAUAACAGAAUUACAUGCAUUUGUGAGCUGUAAUUAGAAGUCUGAAAGACAUAGAUUGCCAUGAAUAUGUAUAGAUCUAACAAAGUACACAGGGAUAUUGCCUCUAGCUAGUCUUAAAAAAAUGUGGCUCAUUAUUUAUCAAAGAAUUACUUCCUGGCCUAUGUACACACACAGUUCCAGUUUACGUUGUCCAGAGAGUCCAUCCACACUGGCAAAAUGUGUGCAUUUCUGAACAAACACUUAUGCAAGCAAUUUGAGCACAGCUCCUGCAUACAAGCAUCUGUUCCUAUUAGUUAGAGCCAUUCUAAUAGCUGUCAGAACUGUUGUUACAGUUAAUUUGCCUAAGCACAGUCACAGCUUCAAUUAAUUUUGGAAUUAUUGCAAGUUGUGGUAUAGGAAAAACAUGAGGUUUUGUGGUGUGUUUCCCCCCUUGUGUAACCUUGCUGUGUAGUUUGAGUCAACACAGUAUAUAUUCCUUCUUCUAUUAAGCAGCUGCAUGAGUGCCAGAAAACUCUUACUGAUAUUGCCUAUGAAAAAAAUCAUAGGUUUAAAGGUAAAAGGGACCAUUAAAUAACUUCCUGUCAUUUCACAUUGUACUUUAUUAAGUUCUAAUGCGUCAAGCCUAGUAACUUAUUAAAAGAAGCUAUCUUUUCCAGAGGCGCAAUCAUUUUUUUUUGAUUUUAAGAUAGAGAAGGAAAAUGUUCUCUCUCCUAAGUUUGUUAUAAUGAGGGAAAAAAAAAAA
Anas platyrhynchos (mallard) is the source of this 2897-nucleotide long non-coding RNA. RefSeq lists it as uncharacterized. The record is from RefSeq and is a predicted model, not a curated record. Lineage: Eukaryota; Metazoa; Chordata; Aves; Anseriformes; Anatidae.